GGCGGACGGGUGAGUAACGCGUGAGCAACCUGCCUUCAGAGGGGGAGUAACGUUGGAAACGAACGCUAAUACCGCAUGACAUAGCAGUAUCGCAUGGUACAGCUAUCAAAGGAGCAAUCCGCUGAGAGAUGGGCUCGCGUCCGAUUAGAUAGUUGGUGGGGUAACGGCCUACCAAGUCGACGAUCGGUAGCCGGACUGAGAGGUUGAACGGCCACAUUGGGACUGAGACACGGCCCAGACUCCUACGGGAGGCAGCAGUGGGGAAUAUUGCACAACGGGCGCAAGCCUGAUGCAGCAACGCCGCGUGAGGGAAGACGGUUUUCGGAUUGUAAACCUCUGUCCUUGGUGAAGAUAAUGACGGUAGCCGAGGAGGAAGCCACGGCUAACUACGUGCCAGCCGCGGC
Molecule: ribosomal RNA, 404 nt
Filed under: uncultured bacterium
Lineage: Bacteria
Description: bacterial SSU rRNA
Rfam family: Bacterial small subunit ribosomal RNA
Source: RNAcentral